UACAGAGGUCUCAAGCGUUGUUCGGAUUCAUUGGGCGUAAAGCGUGCGUAGGCGGUUCGUUAAGUCUGCUGUGAAAGCCCUGGGCUCAACCUGGGAACUGCAGUGGAUACUGGCGGACUAGAGUGUGAUAGAGGAUGGUGGAAUUCCCGGUGUAGCGGUGAAAUGCGUAGAGAUCGGGAGGAACACCAGUGGCGAAGGCGGCCAUCUGGAUCAACACUGACGCUGAGGCACGAAAGCGUGGGGAGCAAACAGG
This 253-nucleotide ribosomal RNA is filed under the name uncultured bacterium. RNAcentral describes it as "partial 16S ribosomal RNA". It matches the Rfam family "Bacterial small subunit ribosomal RNA", at positions 524 to 776 of the family's 1533-position model. The record is from RNAcentral.